AAGAUAAUGACCUGGAAUAGGUAUAUAUUUGGAAAAUAUAAAUAUAGAAAUAAAAUUUCUAUUAUCUUA
This 69-nucleotide transfer RNA is filed under the name Acanthormius sp. 3 DLJQ-2021a. Its description in RNAcentral is "Acanthormius sp. QL-2013 tRNA-Ser". Lineage: Eukaryota; Metazoa; Arthropoda; Insecta; Hymenoptera; Braconidae. The record is from RNAcentral.